GUUAAGCGACUAAGCGUACACGGUGGAUGCCCUGGCAGUCAGAGGCGAUGAAGGGCGUGCUAAUCUGCGAUAAGCGCCGGUAAGGUGAUAUGAACCGUUAUAACCGGCGAUACCCGAAUGGGGAAACCCAGUGUGAUUCGUCACACUAUCAUUAACUGAAUCCAUAGGUUAAUGAGGCGAACCGGGGGAACUGAAACAUCUAAGUACCCCGAGGAAAAGAAAUCAACCGAGAUUCCCCCAGUAGCGGCGAGCGAACGGGGAGGAGCCCAGAGCCUGAAUCAGCAUGUGUGUUAGUGGAAGCGUCUGGAAAGGCGCGCGAUACAGGGUGACAGCCCCGUACACAAAAGCGCAUGUGCUGUGAGCUCGAUGAGUAGGGCGGGACACGUGGUAUCCUGUCUGAAUAUGGGGGGACCAUCCUCCAAGGCUAAAUACUCCUGACUGACCGAUAGUGAACCAGUACCGUGAGGGAAAGGCGAAAAGAACCCCGGCGAGGGGAGUGAAAAAGAACCUGAAACCGUGUACGUACAAGCAGUGGGAGCACAGGUUUACCUGUGUGACUGCGUACCUUUUGUAUAAUGGGUCAGCGACUUAUAUUCUGUAGCAAGGUUAACCGUAUAGGGGAGCCGGAGGGAAACCGAGUCUUAACCGGGCGUUAAGUUGCAGGGUAUAGACCCGAAACCCGGUGAUCUAGCCAUGGGCAGGUUGAAGGUUGGGUAACACUAACUGGAGGACCGAACCGACUAAUGUUGAAAAAUUAGCGGAUGACCUGUGGCUGGGGGUGAAAGGCCAAUCAAACCGGGAGAUAGCUGGUUCUCCCCGAAAGCUAUUUAGGUAGCGCCUCGUGAAUUCAUCUCCGGGGGUAGAGCACUGUUUCGGCUAGGGGGCCAUCCCGGCUUACCAACCCGAUGCAAACUGCGAAUACCGGAGAAUGUUAUCACGGGAGACACACGGCGGGUGCUAACGUCCGUCGUGAAGAGGGAAACAACCCAGACCGCCAGCUAAGGUCCCAAAGUCAUGGUUAAGUGGGAAACGAUGUGGGAAGGCCCAGACAGCCAGGAUGUUGGCUUAGAAGCAGCCAUCAUUUAAAGAAAGCGUAAUAGCUCACUGGUCGAGUCGGCCUGCGCGGAAGAUGUAACGGGGCUAAACCAUGCACCGAAGCUGCGGCAGCGAACGUAUCACUUAAAGCGAUUCAGCGGGUUACGAUUGACGGAGCGAAGCGACGUCAAAGCGUAUACAAAGUCGAGUCGGUUUAAGGAUACGUUCGUUGGGUAGGGGAGCGUUCUGUAAGCCUGUGAAGGUGGCCUGUGAGGGUUGCUGGAGGUAUCAGAAGUGCGAAUGCUGACAUAAGUAACGAUAAAGCGGGUGAAAAGCCCGCUCGCCGGAAGACCAAGGGUUCCUGUCCAACGUUAAUCGGGGCAGGGUGAGUCGACCCCUAAGGCGAGGCCGAAAGGCGUAGUCGAUGGGAAACGGGUUAAUAUUCCCGUACUUGGUGUUACUGCGAAGGGGGGACGGAGAAGGCUAUGUUGGCCGGGCGACGGUUGUCCCGGUUUAAGCGUGUAGGCUGGUUUUCCAGGCAAAUCCGGAAAAUCAAGGCUGAGGCGUGACGACGAGGCACUACGGUGCUGAAGCAACAAAUGCCCUGCUUCCAGGAAAAGCCUCUAAGCAUCAGGUAACAUCAAAUCGUACCCCAAACCGACACAGGUGGUCAGGUAGAGAAUACCAAGGCGCUUGAGAGAACUCGGGUGAAGGAACUAGGCAAAAUGGUGCCGUAACUUCGGGAGAAGGCACGCUGACACGUAGGUGAAGUGAUUUACUCACGGAGCUGAAGUCAGUCGAAGAUACCAGCUGGCUGCAACUGUUUAUUAAAAACACAGCACUGUGCAAACACGAAAGUGGACGUAUACGGUGUGACGCCUGCCCGGUGCCGGAAGGUUAAUUGAUGGGGUCAGCGCAAGCGAAGCUCCUGAUCGAAGCCCCGGUAAACGGCGGCCGUAACUAUAACGGUCCUAAGGUAGCGAAAUUCCUUGUCGGGUAAGUUCCGACCUGCACGAAUGGCGUAAUGAUGGCCAGGCUGUCUCCACCCGAGACUCAGUGAAAUUGAACUCGCUGUGAAGAUGCAGUGUACCCGCGGCAAGACGGAAAGACCCCGUGAACCUUUACUAUAGCUUGACACUGAACAUUGAGCCUUGAUGUGUAGGAUAGGUGGGAGGCUUUGAAGCGUGGACGCCAGUCUGCGUGGAGCCGACCUUGAAAUACCACCCUUUAAUGUUUGAUGUUCUAACGUGGACCCGUGAUCCGGGUUGCGGACAGUGUCUGGUGGGUAGUUUGACUGGGGCGGUCUCCUCCUAAAGAGUAACGGAGGAGCACGAAGGUUGGCUAAUCCUGGUCGGACAUCAGGAGGUUAGUGCAAUGGCAUAAGCCAGCUUGACUGCGAGCGUGACGGCGCGAGCAGGUGCGAAAGCAGGUCAUAGUGAUCCGGUGGUUCUGAAUGGAAGGGCCAUCGCUCAACGGAUAAAAGGUACUCCGGGGAUAACAGGCUGAUACCGCCCAAGAGUUCAUAUCGACGGCGGUGUUUGGCACCUCGAUGUCGGCUCAUCACAUCCUGGGGCUGAAGUAGGUCCCAAGGGUAUGGCUGUUCGCCAUUUAAAGUGGUACGCGAGCUGGGUUUAGAACGUCGUGAGACAGUUCGGUCCCUAUCUGCCGUGGGCGCUGGAGAACUGAGGGGGGCUGCUCCUAGUACGAGAGGACCGGAGUGGACGCAUCACUGGUGUUCGGGUUGUCAUGCCAAUGGCACUGCCCGGUAGCUAAAUGCGGAAGAGAUAAGUGCUGAAAGCAUCUAAGCACGAAACUUGCCCCGAGAUGAGUUCUCCCUGAGACUUAGAGUCUCCUGAAGGAACGUUGAAGACGACGACGUUGAUAGGCCGGGUGUGUAAGCGCAGCGAUGCGUUGAGCUAACCGGUACUAAUGAACCGUGAGGCUUAACC
This 2984-nucleotide ribosomal RNA is filed under the name Salmonella enterica. RNAcentral describes it as "Bacterial large subunit ribosomal RNA". It matches the Rfam family "Bacterial large subunit ribosomal RNA". Lineage: Bacteria; Pseudomonadati; Pseudomonadota; Gammaproteobacteria; Enterobacterales; Enterobacteriaceae. The record is from RNAcentral.